GACGAACGCUGGCGGCGUGCUUAACACAUGCAAGUCGAACGGAAAGGCCCUGCUUUUGUGGGGUGCUCGAGUGGCGAACGGGUGAGUAACACGUGAGUAACCUGCCCUUGACUUUGGGAUAACUUCAGGAAACUGGGGCUAAUACCGGAUAGGAGCUCCUGCUGCAUGGUGGGGGUUGGAAAGUUUCGGCGGGUGGGGAUGGACUCGCGGCUUAUGAGCUUGUUGGUGGGGUAGUGGCUUACCCAGGCUUUGACUGGUAGCCGGCCUGAGAGGGUGAACGGCCACAUUGGGACUGAGAGACGGACCAGACUGGUACGGGAGGCAGCAGUGGGGAGUAUUGCACAAUGGGCGGGAGCCUGAGGCAGCAACGCCGCGGGCGGGAUGACGGCCUUCUGGUUGAAAACCGCUUUCGCCUGUGACGAAGCGUGAGUGACGGUAAUGAGUAAAGAAGCACCGGCUAACUACGUG
RNAcentral lists this ribosomal RNA (468 nucleotides) under uncultured bacterium. RNAcentral's name for it is "partial 16S ribosomal RNA". It matches the Rfam family "Bacterial small subunit ribosomal RNA", at positions 28 to 507 of the family's 1533-position model. The record is from RNAcentral.